UACAGAGGGUGCGAGCGUUGUCCGGAAUCACUGGGCGUAAAGGGCGCGUAGGCGGCCCGGUAAGGUUGCGGUGAAAGCCCGGGGCUCAACCCCGGGUCGGCCGUGGCAACUGCUGGGCUGGAGCACAGUAGAGGCGGGUGGAAUUCCGGGUGUAGCGGUGGAAUGCGUAGAGAUCCGGAAGAACACCAGUGGCGAAGGCGGCUCACUGGCCCGAUACUGACGCUGAGGUGCGAAAGCGUGGGGAGCAAACAGG
Molecule: ribosomal RNA, 253 nt
Filed under: uncultured bacterium
Lineage: Bacteria
Description: partial 16S ribosomal RNA
Rfam family: Bacterial small subunit ribosomal RNA
Source: RNAcentral